AUAUCAAUAAGCGGAGGAAAAGAAACUAACAAGGAUUCCCCUAGUAACUGCGAGUGAAGCGGGAAAAGCUCAAAUUUAAAAUCUGGCAGUCUUUGAUUGUCCGAGUUGUAAUUUAGAGAAGUGUUACCCGUGUUGGACCGUGUAUAAGUCUCCUGGAAUGGAGCGUCAUAGAGGGUGAGAAUCCCGUCUUUGACACGGAUCCCAAUGCAUUUGUGGUAUGCUCUCGAAGAGUCGAGUUGUUUGGGAAUGCAGCUCUAAAUGGGUGGUAAAUUCCAUCUAAAGCUAAAUAUUGGGGAGAGACCGAUAGCGCACAAGUA
This 317-nucleotide ribosomal RNA is filed under the name uncultured Armillaria. Its description in RNAcentral is "partial large subunit ribosomal RNA". It matches the Rfam family "Eukaryotic large subunit ribosomal RNA", at positions 40 to 350 of the family's 3401-position model. The record is from RNAcentral. Lineage: Eukaryota; Fungi; Basidiomycota; Agaricomycetes; Agaricales; Tricholomataceae.